GCUCCAUUUCUGUUCGCUAGGUGGGUCCUCACUGGAGCACUGCCAGGCAGGAAAGACAUUCUUGAGGACCCAAGUGGAACUCGUCUAUAUCCAAGAUAUCAGACCAGCUUUGCUGAUGUGACAUUCCUAUGGCAGAGUGAGGUGGCUGAGACAGUGGGUGCAGACCAUGGUGUAAACUUGCAGCUGGUGUGGAUGCCAGUUGUCCUCAGUUGUGCCUUGCUUGGCAUAUCCUGUGAGCACUGACUCGGGACUGCUUUGCCUAGAGGAAGCCCUGGUCUGGUUGGUGGCUCUGUUCAUCCUUCUUCUGUACUGGUGCACAGGCCACCAUGAAACAGAUGGGAAGUGGUCAACAAUGG
This 356-nucleotide long non-coding RNA is filed under the name Chinchilla lanigera (long-tailed chinchilla). Its description in RNAcentral is "lncRNA (ENSCLAG00000025575.1)". Lineage: Eukaryota; Metazoa; Chordata; Mammalia; Rodentia; Chinchillidae. The record is from RNAcentral.